AGUCGAACGAACUCUGGUAUUGAUUGGUGCUUGCAUCAUGAUUUACAUUUGAGUGAGUGGCGAACUGGUGAGUAACACGUGGGAAACCUGCCCAGAAGCGGGGGAUAACACCUGGAAACAGAUGCUAAUACCGCAUAACAACUUGGACCGCAUGGUCCGAGCUUGAAAGAUGGCUUCGGCUAUCACUUUUGGAUGGUCCCGCGGCGUAUUAGCUAGAUGGUGGGGUAACGGCUCACCAUGGCAAUGAUACGUAGCCGACCUGAGAGGGUAAUCGGCCACAUUGGGACUGAGACACGGCCCAAACUCCUACGGGAGGCAGCAGUAGGGAAUCUUCCACAAUGGACGAAAGUCUGAUGGAGCAACGCCGCGUGAGUGAAGAAGGGUUUCGGCUCGUAAAACUCUGUUGUUAAAGAAGAACAUAUCUGAGAGUAACUGUUCAGGUAUUGACGGUAUUUAACCAGAAAGCCACGGCUAACUACGUGCCAGCAGCCGCGGUAAUACGUAGGUGGCAAGCGUUGUCCGGAUUUAUUGGGCGUAAAGCGAGCGCAGGCGGUUUUUUAAGUCUGAUGUGAAAGCCUUCGGCUCAACCGAAGAAGUGCAUCGGAAACUGGGAAACUUGAGUGCAGAAGAGGACAGUGGAACUCCAUGUGUAGCGGUGAAAUGCGUAGAUAUAUGGAAGAACACCAGUGGCGAAGGCGGCUGUCUGGUCUGUAACUGACGCUGAGGCU
RNAcentral lists this ribosomal RNA (728 nucleotides) under Lactiplantibacillus plantarum. RNAcentral describes it as "bacterial SSU rRNA". It matches the Rfam family "Bacterial small subunit ribosomal RNA", at positions 60 to 753 of the family's 1533-position model. The record is from RNAcentral. Lineage: Bacteria; Bacillati; Bacillota; Bacilli; Lactobacillales; Lactobacillaceae.